UAAGAGGUCCAGCCUGCCCAGUGACACCAGUUCAACGGCCGCGGUAUCCUGACCGUGCGAAGGUAGCGUAAUCACUUGUCUUCUAAAUUAAGACUAGUAUGAAGGGCACCACGAGAAUCAAACUGUCUCCUUUCUCUAAUCUGUGAAACUAAUCUCCCCGUGAAGAAGCGGGGAUUCUAAUAUAAGACGAGAAGACCCUGUGGAGCUUAAGACAAAAAUACUAUUGCCCCAAACAUCUUAGUAUUAAGUCUUAGGUUGGGGCGACCACGGAGUAAAAACUACCCUCCAUGCUGAACGGAACCUCCUUAAACAAGAGCCACAGCUCUAUGAAUCAACAAAUUGACACACUUGACCCAAUUACUUGAUCAACGAAACAAGUUACCCCAGG
RNAcentral lists this ribosomal RNA (388 nucleotides) under Ischnocnema parva. RNAcentral's name for it is "partial 16S ribosomal RNA". It matches the Rfam family "Bacterial large subunit ribosomal RNA", at positions 1846 to 2472 of the family's 2925-position model. The record is from RNAcentral. Lineage: Eukaryota; Metazoa; Chordata; Amphibia; Anura; Brachycephalidae.